RNAcentral lists this ribosomal RNA (423 nucleotides) under Fusarium cerealis. Its description in RNAcentral is "eukaryotic LSU rRNA". The stretch from base 70 to 223 matches the Rfam family "5.8S ribosomal RNA". The record is from RNAcentral. Lineage: Eukaryota; Fungi; Ascomycota; Sordariomycetes; Hypocreales; Nectriaceae.
CGGCCCGCCGCAGGAACCCUAAGCUCUGUUUUUAGUGGAACUUCUGAGUAUAAAAAACAAAUAAAUCAAAACUUUCAACAACGGAUCUCUUGGUUCUGGCAUCGAUGAAGAACGCAGCAAAAUGCGAUAAGUAAUGUGAAUUGCAGAAUUCAGUGAAUCAUCGAAUCUUUGAACGCACAUUGCGCCCGCCAGUAUUCUGGCGGGCAUGCCUGUUCGAGCGUCAUUUCAACCCUCAAGCCCAGCUUGGUGUUGGGAGCUGCAGUCCUGCUGCACUCCCCAAAUACAUUGGCGGUCACGUCGAGCUUCCAUAGCGUAGUAAUUUACAUAUCGUUACUGGUAAUCGUCGCGGCCACGCCGUUAAACCCCAACUUCUGAAUGUUGACCUCGGAUCAGGUAGGAAUACCCGCUGAACUUAAGCAUAUC